This is a transfer RNA of 89 nucleotides. It matches the Rfam family "tRNA". From Rfam's summary of the family: Transfer RNA (tRNA) molecules are approximately 80 nucleotides in length. Their secondary structure includes four short double-helical elements and three loops (D, anti-codon, and T loops). Further hydrogen bonds mediate the characteristic L-shaped molecular structure. tRNAs have two regions of fundamental functional importance: the anti-codon, which is responsible for specific mRNA codon recognition, and the 3' end, to which the tRNAs corresponding amino acid is attached (by aminoacyl-tRNA synthetases). tRNAs cope with the degeneracy of the genetic code in two manners: having more than one tRNA (with a specific anti-codon) for a particular amino acid; and 'wobble' base-pairing, i.e. permitting non-standard base-pairing at the 3rd anti-codon position. The record is from Rfam.
GGAGGAGUACCCAAGUGGCUGAAGGGUCUGGCUUCGAACACCAGUAGGUCGGCAGCACCGGCGCGAGGGUUCAAAUCCCUCCUCCUCCG